AUCUACAGGCUUAACACAUGCAAGUCGAGGGGCAGCAUGGUCUUAGCUUGCUAAGGCCGAUGGCGACCGGCGCACGGGUGAGUAACACGUAUCCAACCUGCCGUCUACUCUUGGACAGCCUUCUGAAAGGAAGAUUAAUACAAGAUGGCAUCAUGAGUCCGCAUGUUCACAUGAUUAAAGGUAUUCCGGUAGACGAUGGGGAUGCGUUCCAUUAGAUAGUAGGCGGGGUAACGGCCCACCUAGUCUUCGAUGGAUAGGGGUUCUGAGAGGAAGGUCCCCCACAUUGGAACUGAGACACGGUCCAAACUCCUACGGGAGGCAGCAGUGAGGAAUAUUGGUCAAUGGGCGAGAGCCUGAACCAGCCAAGUAGCGUGAAGGAUGACUGCCCUAUGGGUUGUAAACUUCUUUUAUAAAGGAAUAAAGUCGGGUAUGGAUACCCGUUUGCAUGUACUUUAUGAAUAAGGAUCGGCUAACUCCGUGCCAGCAGCCGCGGUAAUACGGAGGAUCCGAGCGUUAUCCGGAUUUAUUGGGUUUAAAGGGAGCGUAGAUGGAUGUUUAAGUCAGUUGUGAAAGUUUGCGGCUCAACCGUAAAAUUGCAGUUGAUACUGGAUAUCUUGAGUGCAGUUGAGGCAGGCGGAAUUCGUGGUGUAGCGGUGAAAUGCUUAGAUAUCACGAAGAACUCCGAUUGCGAAGGCAGCCUGCUAAGCUGCAACUGACAUUGAGGCUCGAAAGUGUGGGUAUCAAACAGGAUUAGAUACCCUGGUAGUCCACACGGUAAACGAUGAAUACUCGCUGUUUGCGAUAUACUGCAAGCGGCCAAGCGAAAGCGUUAAGUAUUCCACCUGGGGAGUACGCCGGCAACGGUGAAACUCAAAGGAAUUGACGGGGGCCCGCACAAGCGGAGGAACAUGUGGUUUAAUUCGAUGAUACGCGAGGAACCUUACCCGGGCUUAAAUUGCAGAUGAAUUACGGUGAAAGCCGUAAGCCGCAAGGCAUCUGUGAAGGUGCUGCAUGGUUGUCGUCAGCUCGUGCCGUGAGGUGUCGGCUUAAGUGCCAUAACGAGCGCAACCCUUGUUGUCAGUUACUAACAGGUUCCGCUGAGGACUCUGACAAGACUGCCAUCGUAAGAUGUGAGGAAGGUGGGGAUGACGUCAAAUCGGCACGGCCCUUACGUCCGGGGCUACACACGUGUUACAAUGGGGGGUACAGAGGGCCGCUACCACGCGAGUGGAUGCCAAUCCCCAAAACCUCUCUCAGUUCGGACUGGAGUCUGCAACCCGACUCCACGAAGCUGGAUUCGCUAGUAAUCGCGCAUCAGCCACGGCGCGGUGAAUACGUUCCCGGGCCUUGUACACACCGCCCGUCAAGCCAUGGGAGCCGGGGGUACCUGAAGUGCGUAACCGCGAGGAGCGCCCUAGGGUAAAACUGGUGACUGGGGC
This 1439-nucleotide ribosomal RNA is filed under the name uncultured organism. Its description in RNAcentral is "SSU rRNA". It matches the Rfam family "Bacterial small subunit ribosomal RNA". The record is from RNAcentral.